AGAGCUUGCUCUCGGGUGACGAGUGGCGGACGGGUGAGUAAUGUCUGGGAAACUGCCUGAUGGAGGGGGAUAACUACUGGAAACGGUAGCUAAUACCGCAUAACGUCGCAAGACCAAAGAGGGGGACCUUCGGGCCUCUUGCCAUCAGAUGUGCCCAGAUGGGAUUAGCUAGUAGGUGGGGUAACGGCUCACCUAGGCGACGAUCCCUAGCUGGUCUGAGAGGAUGACCAGCCACACUGGAACUGAGACACGGUCCAGACUCCUACGGGAGGCAGCAGUGGGGAAUAUUGCACAAUGGGCGCAAGCCUGAUGCAGCCAUGCCGCGUGUAUGAAGAAGGCCUUCGGGUUGUAAAGUACUUUCAGCGGGGAGGAAGGUGUUGUGGUUAAUAACCACAGCAAUUGACGUUACCCGCAGAAGAAGCACCGGCUAACUCCGUGCCAGCAGCCGCGGUAAUACGGAGGGUGCAAGCGUUAAUCGGAAUUACUGGGCGUAAAGCGCACGCAGGCGGUCUGUCAAGUCGGAUGUGAAAUCCCCGGGCUCAACCUGGGAACUGCAUUCGAAACUGGCAGGCUAGAGUCUUGUAGAGGGGGGUAGAAUUCCAGGUGUAGCGGUGAAAUGCGUAGAGAUCUGGAGGAAUACCGGUGGCGAAGGCGGCCCCCUGGACAAAGACUGACGCUCAGGUGCGAAAGCGUGGGGAGCAAACAGGAUUAGAUACCCUGGUAGUCCACGCCGUAAACGAUGUCGACUUGGAGGUUGUGCCCUUGAGGCGUGGCUUCCGGAGCUAACGCGUUAAGUCGACCGCCUGGGGAGUACGGCCGCAAGGUUAAAACUCAAAUGAAUUGACGGGGGCCCGCACAAGCGGUGGAGCAUGUGGUUUAAUUCGAUGCAACGCGAAGAACCUUACCUACUCUUGACAUCCAGAGAACUUUCCAGAGAUGGAUUGGUGCCUUCGGGAACUCUGAGACAGGUGCUGCAUGGCUGUCGUCAGCUCGUGUUGUGAAAUGUUGGGUUAAGUCCCGCAACGAGCGCAACCCUUAUCCUUUGUUGCCAGCGGUCCGGCCGGGAACUCAAAG
This 1074-nucleotide ribosomal RNA is filed under the name uncultured Enterobacter sp. RNAcentral describes it as "bacterial SSU rRNA". It matches the Rfam family "Bacterial small subunit ribosomal RNA", at positions 75 to 1144 of the family's 1533-position model. Lineage: Bacteria; Pseudomonadati; Pseudomonadota; Gammaproteobacteria; Enterobacterales; Enterobacteriaceae. The record is from RNAcentral.